Molecule: ribosomal RNA, 118 nt
Filed under: Pteropus alecto (black flying fox)
Lineage: Eukaryota; Metazoa; Chordata; Mammalia; Chiroptera; Pteropodidae
Source: RNAcentral
GUCUAUGGCCACGCCACUCCGAACACGCCCGAUCUCGUCUAAUCUCAGAAGCUAAGCAGGUCAGGCCUGCUUCGUCCUUGGAUGGGAGACCACCUAGGAAGACCAGGUGCUGUAGGCA